Molecule: ribosomal RNA, 301 nt
Filed under: uncultured bacterium
Lineage: Bacteria
Description: partial 16S ribosomal RNA
Rfam family: Bacterial small subunit ribosomal RNA
Source: RNAcentral
CAGUAGCCGCGGGAAUACGAAGGGGGCUAGCGUUGCUCGGAAUGACUGGGCGUAAAGGGCGCGUAGGCGGUUCACGCAGUCAGAUGUGAAAUUCCUGGGCUUAACCUGGGGGCUGCAUUUGAGACGCGUGGGCUUGAGUGUGAAAGAGGGUCGUGGAAUUCCCAGUGUAGAGGUGAAAUUCGUAGAUAUUGGGAAGAACACCGGUGGCGAAGGCGGCGACCUGGUUCAUAACUGACGCUGAGGCGCGAAAGCGUGGGGAGCAAACAGGAUUAGAGACCCCUGUAGUCCCUGUCUCUUAUAC